Molecule: long non-coding RNA, 3314 nt
Filed under: Homo sapiens (human)
Lineage: Eukaryota; Metazoa; Chordata; Mammalia; Primates; Hominidae
Description: non-protein coding LINC00599:7
Source: RNAcentral
CGUGGGUCGGCGAGGGCCCGCCAAGGAAGGAGCGACCGACCGAGCCAGGCGCCCUCCGCAGACCUCCGCGCAGCGGCCGCGGGCGCGAGGGGAGGGGUCUGGAGCUCCCUCCGGCUGCCUGUCCCGCACCGGAGCCCGUGGGGUGGGGAGGUGUGCAGCCUGUGACAGACAGGGGCUUAGAGAUGCAAACAGACUCAGGGAGAGAAACAGAAGCUGAUUCUGUGACAGAAGCAGAUCUGUGCAGCACAGAUGCGGUGUGCGUGGGGAGGGGGUCGCCUGGGAGCGCAUUGCGGAGUGCUUGUGUGUGCAGAUUUUUCUCUGGGCUCAGGACUCAUUGUAUGUGGGUCAACACCUUCCUCCGUGACUGUGUUUUUGUUCUGAGCUGAGUUUUUUGGUUUGCCCUUAAAAAAAUAAUAAUUUGGCAUCCAGAGACUGGCAGACUGCCUCAGGGCCUGGACUGCGGAUAUAUUGUGUUCUGCUUGAGGUUUGGGGAGGAGGGCAGGCGGUAGGAAGGGAGAGGGGGAGCUGUUUGUCACACUUUGCUGUAGAGCUGAGAGCACCUGACAAGCUUAAGGAAGUCGUUGGGCUAUGUGGACAAGAAGGAGCCAGCUCCCAGCGGGUUCACAAGCUCUAUCGGAGUUGAAAGCGUGGUCAUGGCUCUAAGGAGCACCUCACGCCCUCCCUGUAGCUGUUAUUGCAGUUUCAGGCAGAGAUCCAGGAGCUGCAGAGGAAGGGAGAGGCACAAUAACCUACAUGGACCCAAGGGAGACAUGUGUUCCUUUAAAAAUGUGAACAGAAGGAAAAACAGAAUGUGUGCAACUGGGGGUCUGAGGAAAGACUGUUUUGAAAGAGGCUGUCAGGGAAUGGAAAGGGUUAAGCUUUUCAUCCUGAAGAACCUGCUUCCCAAAUCAGGCCUUCCUCCCAUCACUAGACCCUGAGCAGCAGCUGGUCCUAGAGACCCCCCUCGUACUGCGCUGCCACAGUCUCAUCCCAUUUCCAGCUCUGUAUUAACCACCAAGCUGCAGCGGAUGGGGCAAGACCUAAGCUCAUUAAUUUCCAGGUGGAGGAAAUGGAGGAGGGGCAGGUCCCUGCAGUAGAGGGAGGAGCAGAGAAAGGAGGCCAAGAGCUGGAUCCUUCUGCCCAGGAAGCCUGCUGCAUCCCUUCCCCCGAGCAUGGCAGAGGCCUGGCUUUGCAAGGCCAAGGCCAUAAGGGAUGCUUAGGAGAUUAAUUUGAUUCCUGACACAAUAAUCAAGCCCUAAGAGUCUCCACUGAAGCUUACUGAGGACUUCUUUCCUCUCCAAAGCCUCAGUCUAGCCUGCUAAAUAAAUUAGUAUUCAGUGAUGCCUUGGAUCAGGGCCCCUCCCCGGCCUCAGUUUCCCCAAAUAUUUAUUAAGUACCUACUGUGUGCAAUCCUUGUGUAAUUAUUAACUCUUAGGCUCUUCAUUUGCCCUCCUAAAGCAGUGUUUAGAGUCAGGCAGAGGUUAAGUGUGUUGCACCUCACCUAGAUACUUCCAGAACCUUCUCUGGGUCUGCAGAAUGUGGCACAACCUGCUUGCCCCCGCAGAGAGAAAGCUGCAGUGCACAUCCUGCAGACUGCAGGUGCUGGGCUGCCUCUGGAGUCCCAGAAGGCAAGCUUGGCUGCAGGACAGAAAGGGAGAACAGCUUCUCUCACCCCUGAGCCUUCACAAGCCCUUGUCUAUUUGCCGUUGCCUUCAAAAUAUACCUCCCCCGAAACCAGUAGCUUUCUGAGUCCUGGUGUCCCCUCCGCCCUUUCUGGACAGGUUUGGGAAGAAGAAAGCAGUCAGUGCUGGGCCUUAUUGGGGUGUGAAGCGCCUUGCUCUGCCCCUUCUGCUCACUGUGAAGGCCGCUGGAUGCUUCUCUUAGGCAUGGUUUAAGCCUCCGAUUACUAAACCCCUUGCCCCACAAACGUCCACAUUGACGAGCCUCUUUUUAGUAACUGCUUCCCCGUAAUUCCUUCAGAGGUUGCUGUACCCUUCGCUGAUGUGCUGCCCUCCUGUAAAACCUCCAGAUGCCUUCCCACGUAAUGCCCCUUUCAGAUGCUUUAAGCUGAGAGCUUAAACCACAGGUACCAUGGCUGACGCCUGCCAGGUUUCUGCUGCAGAUAAUCUAUGAUGGGAGGGGCAUAUUUUUUACUUCAUUACUUAUGUAAACUCUUGUUCCAGAAAGCUUUAAUGUGUGUGGGAGUGUUCUGGGUCUAUUAGGUCUGUGCGCAUGGGUGUGGGCAUUUGCCUGUGUCCACCGGGUGGGUCUCAUUAUGAAAUGUAUGUUUAUGUAGGGCUUUAAUGGCUGAAAAUGGCAAAGAGAUGAAUAGACCACUUGGCCCCAUGUGUAAUUGCCAGGCCCCUUCUGUGCUCAAAUGAGGUGUCCGAGUGAAGGUCAGCCCUUCCCUUCUGUAUUUGGGGCCUAUUUAUGCCACCAGUAAUUUUAUAAGAAAUCUGAAUAGUUCUCCCCUUUGAGUGCAUUUAACUCUUUAGUAUCUUCUCUCUUACCUAUUUGAGCCCCUCUAGCUACAGUCUGGCUUAAAUGAAAGGGGAAUUAUAUGCUUAAGAAAAAGUAGGACACGGUUGAGGCAGUUUGCUGACUGAAUACGCGAAGAAGGACCUGAUGGGCUCAUAUGCACCACUGCCAUCACAGUCCCCAUCGUGAUGCAAGCUUAUAUGAUUCUUGAGAAACAGCCCAGAUCUCCUCUUAAGCGGAAAAGAGAUUGACCUUCUAGCAGAGGCAAAGAAUGGAGUCUUCUGGGGGCAGCUGCAAAGCGUUCUCCCUAGGACAGAUGGAGCCUCCCUUUCCUCAUCUACUCUGUGGGUGGUUUCAGGGCCCACGAGUCAACAUGAGGAGUUGUGCUGGUGGUAUGUGUGUUGGAGGCUGGGCUGGCUGAUUCACAGUGACGAGGAUGUCAAUAAUAACAAGAAUGAGAAUGAUGGUACCUAAUAAAGACUUUUUUUCCCAAGUCCCAUCUACAAUUCUUUCAUUGGGUGUUUUGCCAAGUCUUUCUCAAUCUCAUCUCAGCUUUUUUUUUUUUUUUAAAGAAAAUGUAUUCAAUACUUAAUUGCAUCACAAAUGUAGACAUAGAAGAAAGGACUUCAAACGGAAUUUAUGGGAGGCAAUGUGUGCGGCUUUUUGCCUUAUAGAGCUGUGUAGAAGGUCUGGAAUGAUCUUCCAGCACCAAAUUUAGAUGGCCUCAAAAAAAAAAAAAAAAAAAAAAAAAUCAGGCCUUAUUGAGGGCAAGGAAUGUUCCAGGUCAGAAAUAAAAGUGUCAGCAACUCUCAAUAGGUUCAUCUUUUUAUUUCCUG